Molecule: non-coding RNA, 45 nt
Filed under: Schistosoma margrebowiei
Lineage: Eukaryota; Metazoa; Platyhelminthes; Trematoda; Strigeidida; Schistosomatidae
Source: RNAcentral
GUCCGGCUGACAAGCCUCAAAUAGGACGAAACACAUGUCCUGGAU